AUACGGAGGGUGCAAGCGUUAAUCGGAAUUACUGGGCGUAAAGCGCUCGUAGGCGGCUUGUAAAGUCGGAUGUGAAAGCCCCGGGCUCAACCUGGGAACUGCAUUCGAUACUGGCAAGCUAGAGUAUAGUAGAGGCAAGUGGAAUUCCGGGUGUAGCGGUGAAAUGCGUAGAUAUCCGGAGGAACAUCAGUGGCGAAGGCGACUUGCUGGACUAAUACUGACGCUGAGGAGCGAAAGCGUGGGGAGCAAACGGGAUUAGAAACCCCGGUAGUCC
Molecule: ribosomal RNA, 274 nt
Filed under: uncultured bacterium
Lineage: Bacteria
Description: partial 16S ribosomal RNA
Rfam family: Bacterial small subunit ribosomal RNA
Source: RNAcentral